GAUGAACGCUGGCGGCGUGCUUAAUACAUGCAAGUCGAGCGAACGGACUACUAGCUUGCUUCUUUGAUGUUAGCGGCGGACGGGUGAGUAACACGUGGAUAACCUACCUAUAAUACUGGUAUAACUUCGGGAAACCGUAGCUAAUACCGUAUAAUAUUUUUAACCGCAUGGUUCAAAAAUGAAAUACGGUCUUGCUUUCACUUAUAGAUGGAUCCGCUCUUCAUUAGCUAGUUGGUUAGGUAACCGCUUACCAAGGCAACGAUGAAUAGCCUAGCUGAGAGGGUGAUCGGCCACAGUGAAACUGAGAGACGGUCUAGACUCCUACGGAAGGCAGAAGUAGGGACUCUAGCGAACUGGGGGAAAGAGUGACGGAGCAACGCAGGGUGAGUGAUGAGGCUCUUCGGAUGGUAAAACGCUGUUAUUAGGGAAAAACAUAUGCGUAAGUGACGGUGCACAUGUUAAGGGUACCUAAUAAGAAAGCCCCGGCUAACUAGGU
This 496-nucleotide ribosomal RNA is filed under the name uncultured bacterium. RNAcentral's name for it is "partial 16S ribosomal RNA". It matches the Rfam family "Bacterial small subunit ribosomal RNA", at positions 28 to 506 of the family's 1533-position model. The record is from RNAcentral.